This 253-nucleotide ribosomal RNA is filed under the name uncultured bacterium. Its description in RNAcentral is "partial 16S ribosomal RNA". It matches the Rfam family "Bacterial small subunit ribosomal RNA", at positions 524 to 776 of the family's 1533-position model. RNAcentral also lists the same sequence under 1 other name. The record is from RNAcentral.
UACGAAGGGGGCUAGCGUUGUUCGGAUUUACUGGGCGUAAAGCGCACGUAGGCGGAUUGUUAAGUCAGGGGUGAAAUCCUGGAGCUCAACUCCAGAACUGCCUUUGAUACUGGCAAUCUCGAGUCCGGAAGAGGUAAGUGGAACUCCUAGUGUAGAGGUGGAAUUCGUAGAUAUUAGGAAGAACACCAGUGGCGAAGGCGGCUUACUGGUCCGGAACUGACGCUGAGGUGCGAAAGCGUGGGGAGCAAACAGG